UACGAAGGGGGCUAGCGUUGCUCGGAAUCACUGGGCGUAAAGCGCACGUAGGCGGAUCUUUAAGUCAGGGGUGAAAUCCCAAGGCUCAACCUUGGAACUGCCUUUGAUACUGGGGAUCUCGAGUCCGGAAGAGGUGAGUGGAACUGCGAGUGUAGAGGUGAAAUUCGUAGAUAUUCGCAAGAACACCAGUGGCGAAGGCAGGUCUCUGGGCCGAUACUGACGCUGAGGAGCGAAAGCGUGGGGAGCGAACAGG
This 253-nucleotide ribosomal RNA is filed under the name uncultured bacterium. RNAcentral's name for it is "partial 16S ribosomal RNA". It matches the Rfam family "Bacterial small subunit ribosomal RNA", at positions 524 to 776 of the family's 1533-position model. The record is from RNAcentral.